GCCCAUCUUUCGGCCUGCCUGCUGGAAUGAUGCUCCGGAUUUGCCCCCACAGUCCAUCUAUUGCCUGAGCCUUUCGACUUCCUUGUGAACAAUUCCUUCCUCCAGUCCAAGCGCUUCGUCCUCACAAGCUCUCCCGUGCUGCACCCAGCGAGCCGGCCGACCGGGGCACGGAGCUCGACCACCCAAGGUCGAGAUGUCUGCUGCCGCUUCGAGCCCGAGGCCUUCCUCCAGAUGGGACUCCUGUUUGCUCCUCUUUCCUCUCUCUUUUGCCAGUUGAGUGGCGACGUCCUAUCGUUGUGGCCGUGGCACGAGUAGCCAAUCAUUAGUAUGUUCGUGUGCUUCGUUAGCUUUCCCCUCCAGCAUUCAGCGGCAACGCUCUCUCGUCUAGCUGAUGGCCUCGGUGCUACACUGGUACAUUGCUCGCGGCGCAUCGUGCCACUGCCACCUAGUGCUAUUUCCAUAUGCAUACUAUUUGUUCGACGGAUUGCCUUUAUAAAGCAAGCAUUGUUUUUUUGGCAUAACGUUUCUGCCUAAACCCUAAACUGCGUCUAAGUGUAAAGAAAGCGUGUUGUUAGUGUACUAAAUCAAAUUCUUUUUGCACAAAAAACUUGAAGGCUUGAAGCCCAGUACCAGAAGCAUCAUCUAAUCAUGGCACAUAUUGGGUUCUAUGACAAAGGAACAUGUAUAUAAGUAUAUCGAAUCACUUGAGGUCAACCGGUGAUAGUUUGGAUUCAUGAUAUUCAAAUCUUCAGCAAUCAAUCACGGUGCUAAUGAAACAGAACAUAAACCAAUGUAUACAACAUUUAUUUGGGACCUAAUGAUGGUGCACUUGGCUUUUUUCCGAUUCCUAGUCAAGCUGGAAUGCAUUAUUUCUUUCACAAUACAAGCUGCCAAAUAUUGGAUGUUCCUUUUGGAAGAUCCGGUGAAAUAUUGAUUUAGUUGUUCCACUUUAUGUUUUGAACUCAUGUGUUUUAAUUUUUAUGAAUAAAUUGCUGAAAUCAUGUGGCAGUUGGUUGUCAAUCGCUCUAGUUUGGCAAGCUCAGUCUAGCAAGAAAUCUGUUACUUUCAAGCCUUCACUACUGUUGCGCGUAAAAUUGCAAUGAUUUGAUGUAAAUGCUAUCCUUCUAGCUCCCUUUAUGUUUUUUUAAUUUUAUUUUAUUUUUUGAAAGGAGCCCCCUUGGAGUUUUGCUUGCGCUGUUAAGAAUUCCUGGGCAGAGUGCAGAACUGACCUUUCAUUUUUUGGUUUUUUUGCAGUAACUUCGAGGUUGAUUAUGGGUUUGAGGAACAGGCAUCCAUUGUCUAUAAAACAUUAGCCGCCGUUGACAAGGAGUUGCAACCUGACAAGGUCAAGAGAGAUGACUGUUUCUGACGGCAAGAUUUUCGUGUUAGUGUAUUUCCAUUCUGAAAUUUGUAACAGCUAUCUCUGCAUCGCUGCAUGAUGUUUUAAUAUUGAACUCUGAAUGAUUUAGACACUUUGAAGCGGUAGAGGCCCAGUUUCUGCGAGCAUCGUUUGGCGCAUUUGUAGAUCUUAUGGUGCUCGUGACCAAGCUUGUCGAGGAAUAUGGCGUGGCCGACUCUUCAUGAACAACCAUGUGAUGCAGAACUCGCCAGCAUUCAGAUUCUAUUUCUGUGAUUUGCUCUGUAAGGCAUAACGUACGACGAAUGCUGAUACCAAAAGCCUAUGACGCUGAAGCCCUACUUGUAAUGCUGCAUACUGAUAGAUAUGAAGAUCCAACAUUAUACUGUAAAAAAGCGUAUGCAAAGUUCACCUGAAAUCCAUGUAGCAUAAUGCAAAACCAUAACCAUGCACUUGCAUAGACUCAUGCAAAUAUAUGUGCUGUGAAAUUUAUGCAAA
Long non-coding RNA from Panicum virgatum (switchgrass), 1855 nucleotides. RefSeq lists it as uncharacterized. The record is from RefSeq and is a predicted model, not a curated record. The transcript is spliced from 2 exons. Lineage: Eukaryota; Viridiplantae; Streptophyta; Magnoliopsida; Poales; Poaceae.